This is a long non-coding RNA of Gorilla gorilla gorilla (western lowland gorilla), 2409 nucleotides long. RefSeq lists it as uncharacterized. The record is from RefSeq and is a predicted model, not a curated record. The transcript has 2 exons. NCBI's taxonomy places the organism in Eukaryota, Metazoa, Chordata, Mammalia, Primates, Hominidae.
CUGGAGUUAUACUCCCAAAGACAAGGCAGGGCUCCUCUCUGAUGUGGCAAACAAGGCUAGAUUCUUACCUAGGAUGCCGGAAUUAACAAAAUGUACCAAGCUGAAAUACUCAAGCAGAUCAUUCUGGAUGGGAGUUCCGGAGAUGAGCACCCGCCGGCUGGUGUUCAAGCUGUCCAGGGCUUGACUGCUGAGAGUCAAGUACCUCGUCACAUAUGACCAGACCAACACUUCCUUUCUGGAGGACUCCAACAUGAAGGCGGAAGGUCUCAUAGGAAAUGAUGAGGAUGGGAGAAGGCACCCUGGCUCCACGCUGGUUCAUGAAUCCUUCUACAACAGAAAAGGUGUCAAGAGAACAAUUCAGAAUCUUUUGAAAAAAAAAAAAAAACAAUUCGACAGUUCUUUAAUUUAGCCUGGAAACAACUGACUCCACUUCAACUAUUUUCAAUGGAAAUUCUCUUUUCUUCUACCCCUGCAUUGCCCUCCACCCUGGCCAUAAAUGAGCAUGCACGUAAGAAAGCAGCAGGCUGUGCAGGAGAGUGCAGCCAUCUUUGUUAGGGCUCCGUACCCAGCUUUUGGUCUAUUUCAUCCUUAGAUCCUCCAUCGAUGGCCAGAGGUUGGAUCCUCCCUCCGAGCCAUUUCCCAACCUCAUUGUACCAGUUCUUCACCAGGCUGGAAGGCGACACCACCACUGCCUUGUCAAUUUCUGGCUUGCACUCUGGACUCUGGCGUAAAAGUGUCCACAUCAAUGUGAUGCACUGCAGCGUCUUUCCUAGGCCCAUCUCAUCAGCCAUGAUGCAGCCAUGGCUGCCAGGGAUGCGCCGACUGGUGACACACUCCCACAGGAAUUUCACUCCCUAGAGAAUAACAGCCUUCAGUCCACUUUGGCACCUACGCUGCUGCUGUCCCAGGGAUGGUAGUCUCCCAGGCUCAGCCCAUAGCCCACACCUCGUUCCCCUCACCCUCAUUUACCUCUCUCUGAUGAGGCCGCAAAACCUUACUGAGAAUAGGGUCAACAACCACAUGGACAGGGAGUUUCUCCCUGAGAAAACACAGCAAAGAAAACAGCGUGCUCAGACAUGGGCAAGGGAGCACCCUCAGGAAGCUGUGUCCUGCUGAUCCAGAGGCAACAGAGGCAGCUGCCUAAGAGAAGACCUUCUUGGCUGAUAAAUCAUAAAACCAUAGCAAGUUCCUACUUUAGGAGUUAGAAAGUUAGCUCAGAGAGGGAUGGGUUCCCUGUGUCAUCACCUCAAUCACUCCUCCUCCUGAGUGAGCAUCCUGGGAAGGCAGGAGGGGAUGAGGAAUGCCCACUCACUGGACAUGACCACAGGCUCUUCCCCAGGCAGUCUCCUUCCCCAAUCAUCUACUCUCUGAAAACAUAUGUCAAUCCUAAAAAGAAAUCACACCAAAAUACCCUCUGCCCUCCCAAGUAUGCGUGCAUGUACAGAGAACCAAAACUGCUUAUGAAAUACCAGUGCACAUACUUGUCAAGCUUCAGCUGGUCAUGAGCGCUCAGCGGGGGAGGCUCAUACAGAACCAAGGCAUCUUUUUCCAGGGGGUCAUGGAGGGCCCGGCGGACCCCAGCCCUUUUCAGGCCCAAUGCCCGAGAGCCCAGAGGACCUACAAACCAAUAAUCAUUCCGUCACCUGAAUCUACGUUUAGGAGCUCCAGCAAGCCCAACUCAAAUACUUGUCCUUCACAUAACCUUUCCUGAGCUCCCAUAUGACCCUCUCUCUCUGAGAAUGCCUCCAAACUCAGUUUGGGCAUCUCUAUAUGACCAUUAUCCCAUUCUGCUUUUUUUUUUUUUGAGAUGGAGUCUCACUUUGUUGCCCAGGCUGGAGUGCAGUGGCACAAUCUCGGCUCACUGCAACCUCUGCCUCCCAGGUUCAAGCAAUUCUCCUGCCUCAGCCUCCCAAGAAGCUGGGAUUAUAGGCUCCCGCCACCACACCCGGCUAAUUUUUGUAUUUUUUUUAGUAGAGACAGGGUUUCACCAUGUUGUCCAGGCUGGUCUUGAACUCCUGACCUCUGGUGAUCUGCCCGCCUUGGCCUCCCAAACUGCUGGUAUUACAGGCGUGAGCCACCAUGCCCAGCCCCCAGAAUUAUUCUGCUUUGAAUCAGAGCUUUUCCCAUGUUAUUUCUCCCAUUCAAUUACAAACUUCUGAGGUGCCAGAUCUGGUUCAUUUCAACUCAAGACAAUCCUGGGAAGGCCUGAAAUUCUAAAGGGCGCUUUCAUGGAGCUUUCUGAGAGCUCCUGAGAGCUGGCCACAGCCAAGCGUAGUAUCUCAAGCCUGUAGUCCCAACACUUUUUGAGAGGUCGAGGUGGGAGGAUCGCUUGUGCCCAGGAGUUCGAGAUCAGCCUGGCCAACAUAGUGAAAUCCUAUCUCUAUUAAAUUAAAAAAAAAAAAAAAAAAA